Long non-coding RNA from Podarcis raffonei (Aeolian wall lizard), 2392 nucleotides. RefSeq lists it as uncharacterized. Lineage: Eukaryota; Metazoa; Chordata; Lepidosauria; Squamata; Lacertidae. The record is from RefSeq and is a predicted model, not a curated record. The transcript has 4 exons.
UUCUUUCCUUUCUUGUUUGCUUACUCGCUUGAAUUUAUUGUACUGAUACAGAAUGUGUUUUCUUUCUUUAAAUCUAGGAUGCUUUAGAUAAAGGUCAAGCCUCCCUUAAUUUGCCACUCUAUCUAGAGACCCAUUUCAUGAAUUGUAUUCCCUUUGCUUGCUAGAGUUCUUUCUCAUAGUUGCACUUGAGGCUCAACCUUUUACUGACCUUUAAGGUUUCUUCCAUUUUUCUCCCUUACAUAGAAUUGUAGAAUUGGAAGGGACCCCAAGGGUCAUCGAGUCCAGCCCUCUGCUAUGCAAGAAUCUCAGCUAAAGCAUCCCUGACAGAUGACCACACAACCUUUGCUUAAAAACCUCCAAGGAAGGAAAGUCUACCACCUCAAGAAGGCAUCUGUUCCACUGUUGAACAGCUCUUACUGUCAGAAAAUUUCCUGUCUAGAAUUCUGCCUUCCUCUGUGUUUAGCAUUCCUUAUCUGGAAGCAUGAGUAUAGGCUCCGAAUCAGCUCUCACUACUCAUAUCCACCAAGAAGCAACGCAGUAAGACAGACCCUGAAGGAACAAGUCCUGAUCUUGUCCCCAUAGCAAGCAAAAUUAAUCACCGAGCAAAGCACCACGUCUACCGGUACUAUCGAGUCUGGAACCUGCUGGCUCCCUCGGACUCAUUUGUAACUGCUCUGUUAAACUGGGCUUUUUGAACAUAGGAUCUAAUGCAGGCAUUUGAACGGCGCUGUCUGGCCAGGUGACAAACCAAGCUCCCAAGACCCUAAUUUCAUCAGCUGGGAUGUUUCAAAUUAUGAAGGGUUUGCAAUACAUAUUCAGUAAACAGAGCACUCGUCUUGUCACGAUGAUGCAGUACUCUGCAUUGUUCGUCUAAGUGGCUUGGCUAUGGCUUCCAUAUAAGAGGGCUGAUGUCAGCUGUAUUCAGCUGAAAAAUGAGAAUGCAAGGGUCAAAUAUGACAUGAUGGAAUAGCAGCUAGGAGUAUUCAUUCCCAUGACUGCUCUAUUCACACAAGGGGGGGUAUUCUUUAUGUGACAGAGAGCAAAAUCUCUCCCUUCCCAACAUUACCUCACCCUACUUGGAGCAGUUUCCUCACAGUAUUUAAUGGCUGGUGUUUUACUGUGUUUUUAAUAUUUUGUUGGGAGCCUCCUAGAGUGGCUGGGGCAACCCAGUCAGAAGGGCAUAUAAAAAUUGUUACUACUACUGCUGCUAUUACAUACCCUCCAACAUUUCUCCAAUGAAAAAAGGGACAUCCUAUUACAGUGGUACCUUACUUCUCAAAUGCCUUGGUUCCCAAACACCGAAAACCCGGAACUAAGUGUUCCGGUUUUCGAACUUUUUUCAGAAGCUUAACGUCCGAUGAGGCAAUUGAAUAUUGUUUCUGGGGUGCCUGCACCAAUCAGAAGCCAUGCCUUGGUUUUCAAACAUUUCAGAAGUCAAACAGACUUCCGGAACGGAUUAAGCUUGGCACUUUUGUUUUUGCUAUUUAUUUUGCGUUUUUGUUUUUGAGGCUUUUUCAGUUAAUUUGUUUUUGUGACUGUGUGGAACCCAAUUCAGCUACUGAUUGAUUGAUUGUGUGACUGCGGAAAUGGAUAAAAGCCCCCCAUCCAAACAAUGACUAUCAUCAGUGCAGGACUGUUUUGUUCCAUCUGCCUGCUCUCAUAUUUACGGCUUCAAAGGCAAAGUCAGAACGCUGUGGAGAUAUGGAGGCAUAACUUGAGUAGGCAGGAAGAAUGUGGUCAAUGUUGUGGGACUGGAACUCAAUCCCAGCCUAACCGCCUCACUUGCUCCUGUCACUGUCUUUGUUCUUCAAGAUGCAACAUGGCCACGGACUUCAAGGUGAUGUGAAAUGUUAUCUCAAGGCAAUUUCUCUAUCUUCGCAUGGCUGUCAGAAAGGAUAAAUAUUGCCCUUUGGAGAUUUCUUCUAUUUGAAAGUUUGGCAUGGACUGUAUGUCUGUUUACUCAGAAGUAAGCUCCACUUCCUUCAGAGGGAUUUCUUCCCAGCUAAACAUGCAUGGGAUUGAAACUUUGACAUACUGUGACCAACGAAAGAUGCAAAGAUGUGGCAAUCACAUUUUUUCCGGCUUAAUAUUUCAUUUUAAUUAAGGGAGGAUGGGUCUUAAUGAGCCAUGGAAUACGUGCCAACAUUUGCAUGCUCUUCUCAGAGAUGUAUAACUUUUAAAGUGCAGUGACUAUUAAUAGUGGGCUUAAUUAAAGCUUGCUUACAUAGAUAAGAAAUUGCAUCAGCUUCGCAUGAAUUGUGUCUUGUCUUAAGUUAUUGCAGACGGAAUAUAAAGGUUUGGGUGAUGGAGCAAUAUUUUAUUUCUUUUUUAAUUAGGAUUUUCAGGUUUCAGUAUUUUUUUAAAAAAAUAAGUUUCCUCUUUUUUUUUUUUU